Molecule: non-coding RNA, 110 nt
Organism: Thermoactinomyces sp. DSM 45891
Lineage: Bacteria; Bacillati; Bacillota; Bacilli; Caryophanales; Thermoactinomycetaceae
Source: Rfam
AGAACCUUUAAAUCCAGUCCAGAGAGGCUGGCAAGGGCACGGAUAUAUCAGUUAGGUGGAAUAUGUCCACUUGUGCUUCUUGUCUAGCUAAGACAAGAAGCAUUUUUUAU